RNAcentral lists this transfer RNA (101 nucleotides) under Candidatus Woesearchaeota archaeon. Its description in RNAcentral is "tRNA-Val". It matches the Rfam family "tRNA". From Rfam's summary of the family: Transfer RNA (tRNA) molecules are approximately 80 nucleotides in length. Their secondary structure includes four short double-helical elements and three loops (D, anti-codon, and T loops). Further hydrogen bonds mediate the characteristic L-shaped molecular structure. tRNAs have two regions of fundamental functional importance: the anti-codon, which is responsible for specific mRNA codon recognition, and the 3' end, to which the tRNAs corresponding amino acid is attached (by aminoacyl-tRNA synthetases). tRNAs cope with the degeneracy of the genetic code in two manners: having more than one tRNA (with a specific anti-codon) for a particular amino acid; and 'wobble' base-pairing, i.e. permitting non-standard base-pairing at the 3rd anti-codon position. Lineage: Archaea; Nanobdellati; Candidatus Woesearchaeota. The record is from RNAcentral.
GGGUCCGUGGUCUAGUGGUUAAAUUUUUCAAGGAGAAAGAUUCCAUAAAUGACGUCGCCCUUACAAGGCGGAGAUCGGGUGUUCGACUCACCCCGGACCCA